Molecule: ribosomal RNA, 222 nt
Filed under: uncultured bacterium
Lineage: Bacteria
Description: partial 16S ribosomal RNA
Rfam family: Bacterial small subunit ribosomal RNA
Source: RNAcentral
UAAUGCAUCGGAACGUGUCCCGUAAUGGGGGAUAACGCCGCGAAAGCGGCGCUAAUACCGCAUACGCUCUACGGAGGAAAGCAGGGGAUCUGCAAGGACCUUGCGUUAGGGGAGCGGCCGAUGUCCGAUUAGCUAGUUGGUGGGGUAAUGGCUUACCAAGGCGACGAUCGGUAGCUGGUCUGAGAGGAUGAUCAGCCACACUGGGACUGAGACACGGCCCAG